GAUCGCAGGCGCCGCUGUGGCCGUGCUGCUGCUGCUGCUGCUGCUGGCCACCUGUUUGUACCGCAGACAGGAGGAGCGUGACGUGGAGAAGAACCCUCCUGCUGCAAGAAGAAACCGAGUCUGGUGGGCCCAGUCUUGGAUCUCCGCAGGCCGAGGCCACCUGGGACGCUUGCAUCAUUUCCGUCACACUGGCCGGGCAUUCCAGGCGCCCCAGGCGGGCCACCGCCACCAUCACCACCACCACCACCACCACCACCACCAGGCCCACUCCCACGCCCACCGCCAAGCCCAUGCCCACUCCCACCGAGGCCGCCGCUGAUGCCUGCGAAUGGCAGCUGCCACCUGCCUCACCGUCACCAGGACAAGUGGACUCCUGCUUUCCUGCGCAGAAGGGCACCUCUCCAUGGUGAAAGCCAGGUCCUGCUUGGGUGUCAUUUGCAUGCUACACCCCAGUGGGCAACGAUGGAGGCAGAGAGCCUAGGACCACCACCGGGGGUGCCCCUGCUCACACCGGAGGCUGAUAGGCCAGAGAGCUGAUAGGCUGAUAGGUGGUCUCCGAGGAUGGACACCGCUUCGUGACUGCAACUCCCACCUGGCACCAGGAGUGCCAGCUGCUAUGUGUGCAGAUGCACAGAAGGUGUACCCUACUCUCUCUGAAUGUCCGGGCCUCCGUCCAGGGCAAUAGCUGGAAGGGGCCCUGGCACCACCCUUUCAUUUGCAGAAGGCAGUCUAAGGCUGCACGGUCAAUUCAGUGCAGCCUUAAUACAAGAAAAUAAAAAGCACCAAGAAGCUUUUGUCAAGAGGCCCUUUAUUAUUGUAACUCAAGUGGGAGGGAGCCGCCAGGCCUGUGUCUGCUCUGGCCUGGACCUUCCUCUCUGGCAGGAAGUGAGUGCCUGCGCCGGCUGUGCCCUGGGGGACACGGAGCAGCUCUGCAGGGCUCCAGGACAGUAGCCCCUCCGAGUCCAGGGAGUCUUGAGCUCACACUUUAAAGGACAUCGCUUCUUCCAGAGCUGCCAGUGGAGUUGCCCAUGGCUCUCAGAAGCCUGGCCUGAGGCCCAGGAAACAGUGACAGAGACCCAGUGAGAUUGGAGUAGGGCCAUGCGGGGCACCCAACAGCCUAGACAAGGCAGCAGUCAGGGCCUCAGACCAGCACCUUCUUAGAAGAUCACAGGGAGAGUGGCCUGAGGAGCGAGGGUACCUGCCAUCACCGAGAGCCCCGGCUUCAGACAGGGAGCUGAGGCUCCAAGACUCGUCCCAGGUUGCUCAGUGGGUCAGCGGCCACGCAGGGCCAUGGAAACGGCUGUGAUUGGAGUGGUGGCCGUGCUGUUUGUGGUCACUGUGGCCAUCACCUGCGUCCUCUGUUGCUUCAGCUGUGACUCGAGGGCCCGGGAUCCUCAGAGGGGCCCAGGCCACAGCUUCACGGUGGCCACGUUUCGCCAGGAGGCUUCUCUCUUCACGGGGCCAGGUUGCCAUAUCCAACCAGUGGCGGGUGCCCGGGACUUCUGGACCUUCAUGUGAGACCUGCCAGCUCUCGGCCUUUGCUCUGCUGGUGGUCAGACUUGUUUAUGCCCCAGCAAGCCUUCUCUGGUGACCCACUCCUCCAACGCUGGCUUUCCCGUCCUUCCCUGCCUGUGUCCAGUAAACCCUGUCCCAUGUCCUGCAGCCUGGGAGAUCCAUGGUGAUAGGACCAGGUAGGAGUCAGCUCUGACCUCCAGGAGCUCAGCUGGAUCCUAACCACAGGAUGGGGCUUAGGAGAGGUCCAGAGGGUGAGUGACUGAGUGUUGGAUGGCAUGGUGGACCAGGUCUUCUGAUCUACACAGUGAACUGAAAUCUCACCGGACUUUAUUGUGAAGAGUGUUGGGAGUUCCCAUCAUGGCACAGUGGAAAUGAAUCCAACUAGGAACCAUGAGGUUGCGGGUUCGAUCCCUGGCCUUGCUCAGUGGGUCAAGGAUCUGGCGUUGCUGAGAGCUGUGGUGUAGGUCACAGGGGCUGCUCAGAUCUGGCGUUGCUGUGGCUGUGGUGUAGGCUGGUGGCUACAGCUCUGAUUUGACCCCUAGCCUGGAAACCUCCACAUGCCAUAUAUGGCCCUGAAAAAACAAAAAGACAAAAAAAAAAAAAAGAGUGUUGGUUAACUCAGCUUAUCCCUGGAUGCCUGUGACCUGUGAAACUGAUUCUGUUGCCACCAGAGGAAGCAGAGCCCUCAAGUGGACAGUUUUACCAAUGACGUCUUCUCUGUUCCCGUAAUUGAGCCAGUUUGCUACUUGCUUGUGCUUUUGUGCAUCCUGCAGAGCUCACCCCGACACCUGCGCCCUGCUCGUUACCUGAAAUCAGCAGUGAAAUUCUGAAACCAAAGGGCUGCUUCCUGGGAACUGGUGAUUUAUUUUAUAAUUGAACAUGCCUAUCCUUUUAUGGGUCUCCUACGAAUCGGGGUUGGAAUCGGGGUUGGGAAACCACAAAAGGAAACAGAAGAGAAAGAGUCACAGAAAGCCCAAGAUGUUUUAUUAACAGGAAAGCCAGAAAGAAGACUUUGCAACAUGUUUGGUAUGAGAAUUUAUCACUAAAUUCUUACAGAUCACUUCGAAGAUACUGUGAGGGACUUGGGUCCCUCAGGAAUGAUAGAAAAAUCGGCAACUGAAAGGUGAUUUUGAGUUAAGUUAAAAUGUUUCAUUGACAGAGUGUAACAAAGCUCUUGCUUGCAUCACAAAUAAAGAGAUGUUCAGUUUU
Molecule: long non-coding RNA, 2724 nt
Filed under: Sus scrofa (pig)
Lineage: Eukaryota; Metazoa; Chordata; Mammalia; Artiodactyla; Suidae
Description: lncRNA (ENSSSCG00045018738.1)
Source: RNAcentral